This 302-nucleotide long non-coding RNA is filed under the name Lynx canadensis (Canada lynx). RNAcentral's name for it is "lncRNA (ENSLCNG00005010391.1)". Lineage: Eukaryota; Metazoa; Chordata; Mammalia; Carnivora; Felidae. The record is from RNAcentral.
GAAGAACUAAGUCCUCCACUGCCUGCUUUCUAUCAGCCUCCAGCACCUGGCUCCCAAACGUAGAGCUCUGAACACGGGUACCACGUUUCCAGGACCUGGAUCCUCCACAGGCACUUUUAUAUUUCAACUCAAGGAUCCGACUACGUGAUAUGUUGAGAAUGCACCUCUGUAAAAGACAACAAAAUAAGAACCAGCCAAGGAAAGCAAAUAAGUUUCUUGACUUCUUUUGAACGUGUGAGGACCAUUUGACUUGUCCACAUCCCAGAGAUCCUGUUUCCCAAGCAAACAUUUUCAGGAGUCUU